UACGUAGGGUGCAAGCGUUAAUCGGAAUUACUGGGCGUAAAGCGUGCGCAGGCGGUUUUGUAAGUCAGAUGUGAAAUCCCCGGGCUUAACCUGGGAACUGCAUUUGUGACUGCAUGGCUAGAGUGUGUCAGAGGGGGGUAGAAUUCCACGUGUAGCAGUGAAAUGCGUAGAUAUGUGGAGGAAUACCGAUGGCGAAGGCAGCCCCCUGGGAUAACACUGACGCUCAUGCACGAAAGCGUGGGGAGCAAACAGG
RNAcentral lists this ribosomal RNA (253 nucleotides) under uncultured bacterium. RNAcentral describes it as "partial 16S ribosomal RNA". It matches the Rfam family "Bacterial small subunit ribosomal RNA", at positions 524 to 776 of the family's 1533-position model. The record is from RNAcentral.